AGCCAGAACAGAGAACAGAACAGG
RNAcentral lists this non-coding RNA (24 nucleotides) under Cricetulus griseus (Chinese hamster). The record is from RNAcentral. Lineage: Eukaryota; Metazoa; Chordata; Mammalia; Rodentia; Cricetidae.